GAUGAAGAACGCAGCGAAAUGCGAUAAGUAAUGUGAAUUGCAGAAUUCAGUGAAUCAUCGAAUCUUUGAACGCACAUUGCGCCCGCUAGUAUUCCGAGGGGCAUGCCUGUUCGAGCGUCAUUAUAACCCCUCAAGCUCAGCUUGGUGUUGGGGCCUGCUGCACUGGCAGCCCUUAAAAUCAGUGGCGGCGCCAUCUGGCUCUAAGCGUAGUAAUUCUUCUCGCUAUGGAGUCCUGGUGGAUGCUUGCCAUCAACCCCCAAUUUUUCUAUGGUUGACCUCGGAUCAGGUAGGGAUACCCGCUGAACUUAAGCAUAUCAAUAAGCGGAGGA
This 329-nucleotide unclassified non-coding RNA is filed under the name soil metagenome. RNAcentral's name for it is "partial contains 5.8S ribosomal RNA, internal transcribed spacer 2, and large subunit ribosomal RNA". The stretch from base 1 to 120 matches the Rfam family "5.8S ribosomal RNA", at positions 35 to 154 of the family's 154-position model. The record is from RNAcentral.